Long non-coding RNA from Bombus huntii, 630 nucleotides. RefSeq lists it as uncharacterized. The record is from RefSeq and is a predicted model, not a curated record. NCBI's taxonomy places the organism in Eukaryota, Metazoa, Arthropoda, Insecta, Hymenoptera, Apidae. The transcript is spliced from 2 exons.
CCACGAACCAAGUGAAAUACUAAUUAGUUUAUGAACAAAUGAAUAAUGUGUACAAGUUAUCUAUAUCCUUUAAUACGAGAGACAGAGCGUCGAUGGGAUGAAAAUUGAUAAAUGAAAAUAUAAUCGAGAUUGAAUAUAAAAAAACUGCAUACUGGAAAUAUUUAAUUAUGAUGGGAAUUACAAACUUGAAAGAUUUUCAAAAAAUAAAAGAAAUGUGAAAAUGCUCGUUUUCCUGAUAAAGAAGCGCGUAUCUAUUUGUACGGAAAUUCACAGCAAUUAUUGAGAAGAGUAUGAGUCACUAUCAAGUAAAGGAUACAAGAUGAUCAACCAUAGUAACAGUGAAGAAGAGAGAUUCGUUAAAUAUGAUCGGAGCUCGCGUGCAGAGAAUAGGAGGUGACCUAGGAAGGAUUGUUGAAGAAGUUACAAUGGCAAUACUUUGACGAUGAACAUUAAAUAGACGAUAAAAUUAGGCAUUAUUAUAUCAUAUAAUUGUAUGAUAUUUAAAUAAAUGAAGUUCUACUAUGUAUAUGUAUAUAAAACAAUACAACAUACUUGACUGAAAAUGGGAACUGGCAAAAAACCGAUGUCAUUAGGAAAUAGAAAUGCGUGACAUGUUGGACAAACAGGUUC